Molecule: ribosomal RNA, 509 nt
Filed under: uncultured bacterium
Lineage: Bacteria
Description: bacterial SSU rRNA
Rfam family: Bacterial small subunit ribosomal RNA
Source: RNAcentral
CCUACGGGAGGCAGCAGUGAGGAAUAUUGGACAAUGGGCGCAAGCCUGAUCCAGCCAUGCCGCGUGCAGGAAGAAGCAUCUAUGGUGUGUAAACUGCUUUUGUACAGGAAGAAACACUCCCUCGUGAGGGAGCUUGACGGUACUGUAAGAAUAAGGACCGGCUAACUCCGUGCCAGCAGCCGCGGUAAUACGGAGGGUCCGAGCGUUAUCCGGAAUCAUUGGGUUUAAAGGGUCCGUAGGCGGUUUAAUAAGUCAGUGGUGAAAUCUGGUCGCUCAACGAUCAAACGGCCAUUGAUACUGUUAGACUUGAAUUAUAAGGAAGUAACUAGAAUAUGUAGUGUAGCGGUGAAAUGCUUAGAUAUUACAUGGAAUACCAAUUGCGAAGGCAGGUUACUACUUAUGGAUUGACGCUGAUGGACGAAAGCGUGGGGANCGAACAGGAUUAGAUACCCUGGUAGUCCACGCCGUAAACGANAGAUAUANUGUGUGNAUAUGAGUGNGUAGACGAA